This 530-nucleotide ribosomal RNA is filed under the name Drepanosticta quadrata. Its description in RNAcentral is "partial 16S ribosomal RNA". It matches the Rfam family "Bacterial large subunit ribosomal RNA", at positions 1830 to 2619 of the family's 2925-position model. The record is from RNAcentral. Lineage: Eukaryota; Metazoa; Arthropoda; Insecta; Odonata; Platystictidae.
GUCUUCUUGUUUAUUAUUGGAAGUCUGGCCUGCCCGGUGAUAUUUUUUUUAACGGCCGCGGUAUUCUGACCGUGCAAAGGUAGCAUAAUCAUUAGUUUUUUAAUAGAGAACUGGUAUGAAGGGUUUGACGAGGAGUUGACUGUCUCUAUAUAAUUGUUUGAAUUUGACUUUUUGGUUAAAAGGCUUUAAAAUAUUGUUGGAAGACGAGAAGACCCUAUAGAGUUUUACAUUUAUUUUGUGUUAUUAUUUUGUUUUAUAUUUAAUUUUAUUUUAAUAUUUGUUUGGUUGGGGUGAUGAUUGAAUAUGAAUAACUUCUUUUGUUUGUUCAUUGAUUUAUGUUUUUUUGAUCCGUUUUUAGCGAUUGUUAGAUUAAGUUACCUUAGGGAUAACAGCGUAAUCCUUUUUUGGAGUUCUUAUUUACAAAAGGGCUUGCGACCUCGAUGUUGGAUUAAGAUUAUUAUUGGGUGCAGUUGCUCAAUAAAUAGGUCUGUUCGACCUUUAAAUUCUUACAUGAUCUGAGUUCAGACCGG